Long non-coding RNA from Capsicum annuum, 994 nucleotides. RefSeq lists it as uncharacterized. The record is from RefSeq and is a predicted model, not a curated record. NCBI's taxonomy places the organism in Eukaryota, Viridiplantae, Streptophyta, Magnoliopsida, Solanales, Solanaceae. The transcript is spliced from 2 exons.
UCUUGUUUUUUUCUAGUGUUUUGUAUACUAAUUGUAUCUUGUUUUGGAUGUUUACAGGUAAUAUCACAUGUUUUAUACCUGCGUUUACAUGUGUCACACAGGUGGGCUAAAUUUUGAGCCAAAAAACUGGUAGUUACUACAUUGACCAAUGUGGGAUUUGCUUGAGCCAAAAGUUGGGUCUUUAAAAAUGGUCACAUUUUUAUUUGGUUUACCCGACACUGAAAUCUAAAAUUAACUUUAAAUAACAUAAUAAGAAAAAAUCUUCCCAUACUUGGAAAAUUUUCAUCCAUCUUUACCUCUAGGAAGAUUUUCACACUUAAAAACUCCGCAUUUUCUCUUUAUUCACAUUUUCAAACUCCUUCAACCUAAAUUCAAAGUACUCACUUCGUAACUCAAGAAUUCAACUCCGAAUCAUUACAUUGGGCUUCUCUCUCAUCUCUUAUGUGAAUUUAAAAGGUAUAUCUCCAAGAAAGAAUUUUCAGUGAGGUUCUAUGAAUGAAAAUACUCUAGAAAAGGGCAAGGCAAAAUCAAUAAGCAAAAUUGGCAAAGAAUCGUCCUCUAAAGUGAUCCAACAAUGCCAAAAAGUGUGGACCAUUGUAGAACGUACAAAGUUAAUGGCAUCGAGGUAGAUCAAAUCUAUUUUGGAGUAGAGGCUGCAAGAGACCUUUAUGAUGAUUGGGUAAAAAGUUGGGGCAUUAAUCUUGUCAAGAUAUUUAAUAAGAAGAGAUCUGAAGAACAUUGUCCUAAAAUAAUUGAUGGAAUAAAAGAUUUGAUUUCACAUGUCUUCAAAGAUUUGGUCUCCAUUCCUCAUCCUUCACUCUACUUUCAAGAACUUGUCUAGGAAUUUUAUGCCUCUUAUUUUGUAUGGAACAAUGAAUGAUUGAUUGUACAGGCUUCUAAUUUCCAAAGAAUCAUGUCUCUCUAGUAUACUAGUUUAAUUCAGUGAACUCCCUUGCACGACCUAAGAUAUUAAUGAGAUAUAUAUUGCUUCUGA